CUGCAACAUCACCAACGACACCAGACGACUACGUUCCAUUCAUUCCACCGGAAUCACCGUCCCCAUCCAAACUCAAAGAAAAUGGACAGCUUUGAUCCCUACCAGGUGUUUCAGGUGAACCACUUGCC
Haliotis rubra (blacklip abalone) is the source of this 128-nucleotide long non-coding RNA. RefSeq lists it as uncharacterized. The transcript is spliced from 3 exons. The record is from RefSeq and is a predicted model, not a curated record. NCBI's taxonomy places the organism in Eukaryota, Metazoa, Mollusca, Gastropoda, Lepetellida, Haliotidae.